Molecule: long non-coding RNA, 625 nt
Filed under: Bos mutus (wild yak)
Lineage: Eukaryota; Metazoa; Chordata; Mammalia; Artiodactyla; Bovidae
Description: lncRNA (ENSBMUG00000016338.1)
Source: RNAcentral
GAAGAUAUAAGUGGUAAAAGCAGGAUGCAAACCAGCAUUCCUAACCUAAAGUUACUGCACUGAAACACUUAAGAGAGAGGUCAAGAUCAACUUGAAUCAGUAGCCAAAAAGGAAGAAACUUGGGAACAUUCUUGAAAUGACAUCGAUUUCUCUCUGCUGGGAGUUAGUGAGGUGAAGUGGGAGAAGAACUUGGGCAGAGUUCUAACAACUGAACAGCUACCCCAGGAAAAGAGAAAGACAACAGUAAUCGACUUAAGAAGCUCUACUUAGAGAUCAAAGAGGUGGACUACACUAAUAAGCAGGAGGAGAGGAGAUAGGAAAUGAAUAAUUAAGAUGGAUUUAUCAGAAACAAGGAGAUCAUAUUGAAAUGUAUUCCUGGAGCACCGGGGCUUCACUGACCUCUCUGCCGUGGCUGGAGUCAAUGGUGAUUUCGCACCACAGCACACCAAGAGGCAUUAGACUGUUUCAAACUGUCUUCUGGGGAAGCUUAAUAAGACCUUAUGCUUUUAUGUGGGUCUUUCCCAAUGCGGCAACCUGAUGUCACUCCCUGUGUCCAUGAAGGGGAAUAUCAGAGACUGCUGGCAAUUUGGGCCCUUGUUGUCUGUAUCUCAACACAAAUUCAACC